Clupea harengus (Atlantic herring) is the source of this 437-nucleotide long non-coding RNA. Lineage: Eukaryota; Metazoa; Chordata; Actinopteri; Clupeiformes; Clupeidae. The record is from Ensembl.
GGUGUGUGGAGGUGGUGUAGUGGUGUGUGGUGGGGUGUGGAGGUGGUGUGUAGUGGUGUGUGGAGGCGUGUGGUGGGGUGUGGAGGUGGUGUAGUGGUGUGUGGAGGUGUGUGGAGGUGGUGUAGUGGUGUGUGGAGGUGUGUAGUGGUGUGUGGAGGUGUGUGGUGGCGUGUGGUGGGUGUGGAGGUGGUGUGGUGGUGUGUGGAGGUGGUGUAGUGGUGUGUGGAGGUGUGUGGUGGGGUGUGGAGGUGGUGUAGUGGUGUGUGGAGGUGGUGUAGUGGUGUGUGGAGGCGUUUGGUGGUGUGUGGAGGUGGUGUAGUGGUGUGUGGAGGUGGUGUAGUGGGGUUUGGAGGUGGUGUAGUGGGGUUUGGAGGUGUGUGGAGGUGGUGUGGUGGGGUGUGGAGGUGGUGUGUGGAGGUGGUGUGUGGAGGGGUGUG